CCUACGGGAGGCAGCAGUGGGGAAUAUUGCACAAUGGGGGAAACCCUGAUGCAGCGACGCCGCGGGAGUGAAGAAGUAUUUCGGAAUGUAAAGCUCUAUCAGCAGGGAAGAAAAUGACGGUACCUGAUUAAGAAGCCACGGCUAACUACGUGCCAGCAGCCGCGGUAAUACGUAGGGGGCAAGCGUUAUCCGGAUGUAUUGGGUGUAACGGGAGCGUAGGCAGCAUGUCAAGCGUGCUGUGAAAUGUCCGGGCGCAACCCGGGCCUUGCAGCGCGAAGUGGCGUGCUUGAGUGCGCGGCAAGCAGGCGGAAUUCGUCGUGUAGCGGUGAAAUGCGUAGAUAUGACGAAGAACCCCGAUUGCGAAGGCAGCUUGCUGCAGCGGAACUGACGCUGAUGCUCGAAAGCGCGGGUAUCGAACAGGAUUAGAUACCCGAGUAGUC
Molecule: ribosomal RNA, 440 nt
Filed under: uncultured bacterium
Lineage: Bacteria
Description: partial 16S ribosomal RNA
Rfam family: Bacterial small subunit ribosomal RNA
Source: RNAcentral